CAAAUGGAGAGUUUGAUCCUGGCUCAGGAUGAACGCUGGCGGCGUGCCUAAUACAUGCAAGUCGAACGAAGAAGCAAGCUUGCUUGCUUCUUAGUGGCGAACGGGUGAGUAAUACAUAAAUAAUCUACCAUAAUGACUGGGAUAACCAAUGGAAACGCUGGCUAAUACCGGAUAGGUAAAACGAAGGCAUCUUUGUUUUAUUAAAGUAGGGCUACUACACAAUAUGAUGAGUUUAUGGCGCAUUAGCUAGUUGGUGAGGUAACGGCUCACCAAGGCGAUGAUGCGUAGCCGACCUGAGAGGGUGACCGGCC
This 311-nucleotide ribosomal RNA is filed under the name Erysipelothrix sp. Its description in RNAcentral is "bacterial SSU rRNA". It matches the Rfam family "Bacterial small subunit ribosomal RNA", at positions 1 to 309 of the family's 1533-position model. The record is from RNAcentral. Lineage: Bacteria; Bacillati; Bacillota; Erysipelotrichia; Erysipelotrichales; Erysipelotrichaceae.